This 409-nucleotide ribosomal RNA is filed under the name Bacillus subtilis. RNAcentral's name for it is "partial 16S ribosomal RNA". It matches the Rfam family "Bacterial small subunit ribosomal RNA", at positions 137 to 522 of the family's 1533-position model. The record is from RNAcentral. Lineage: Bacteria; Bacillati; Bacillota; Bacilli; Caryophanales; Bacillaceae.
CAUGGGAUAACUCCCGGAACCGGGGCUAAUACCGGAUGGUUGUUUGAACCGCAUGGUUCAAACAUAAAAGGUGGCUUCGGCUACCACUUACAGAUGGACCCCCGGCGCACUAUCUAGUUGGUGAGGUAACGGCUCACCAAGGCGACGAUGCGUAGCCCACCUGAGAGGGUGAUCGGCCACACUGGGACUGAGACACGGCCCAGACUCCUACGGGAGGCAGCAGUAGGGAAUCUUCCGCAAUGGACGAAAGUCUGACAGAGCAGCGCCGCGUGAGUGAUGAAGGUUUUCGGAUCGAAAAGCAAAGCUGGUGGGGAAAAACAAGUGCCGGCCGAAGAGGACGACCAAAACAUACCCCCCCAGGCCACGGCAAAGGAGAAGGCCCCCCCCAUAUAAUAAAACAGGGGGGGGA